Molecule: non-coding RNA, 222 nt
Organism: Cinara cedri
Lineage: Eukaryota; Metazoa; Arthropoda; Insecta; Hemiptera; Aphididae
Source: the annotation of a GenBank genome assembly
AAACACAAUAAGUUAAAAUCAUAUAGGUAUUUUGAAUUAUCAUAAUUUAAUUACGAGUAAACGUGUGCCCUGAUAUUUAAGCGGUAAACAAUAGUUUUUAUAAAAUGCAUAAAUAUAGGAGCAUAUAAUAAAUCGCAUUGCAUUAAUGCAAAUCGUUUACGCUUAAAUUUAUCGAAAUUAUCUUUGUUCGGCAGUCGGUACUAUAAUACCAAUACUAUAUCA